Long non-coding RNA from Mustela lutreola (European mink), 3064 nucleotides. RefSeq lists it as uncharacterized. Lineage: Eukaryota; Metazoa; Chordata; Mammalia; Carnivora; Mustelidae. The transcript has 3 exons. The record is from RefSeq and is a predicted model, not a curated record.
CUAACUGUCAGUUAACUAAUUUCUUUGACAUGAGUGAUGCAGCUUUUAAUAAUGUACUAUUGCUGGCUAGGCUUUUAAAAAUUUAAUAUUCAUAGGGAGGCUUAUUCAAUUUUAAUUAAAACAUAAUAUUGUAGGCCAUUUUAAAAGUGAAUCUCAAAAAUAAUUCCUGGAUUUUCUUCUCAAAAAGAAUACAGAAGGUCAUGUUAAUUAAAUUUAGGGAUAAAAGGCUUGGCUUGUUUUUUUCUUUUUUUCUUCUUUGUUAAAUAUUAUUGUCACACUAUUGCUAAUCUGCCUAAAAGUUCUUGCAAUAAGGUAUUGAUAAAUUCCACUUUCCAGGAGCCAUGCAUAAUAGUAAAACAUUCAGUAGGAAGAUGGAGAUAUUGUUUGUCUUAUUACCAAGUAGCGUUUGUAGAUCCCAUCUUCAGAAUUAAGCUGUGAUCCUGGACAUGAGACCUUAGUUUAUAUCCUCCCCACUCCCAGCAGUAGCCAUUGAUGUUUAUUGCCAUUCUGAUUAAUUUAAAGUUAGAGGAGAUUUCAGCAUGAGUAACUCUAUUGCUUGUUAGUAUUAUUUGCAAGAAGCUUUAAACAUCAUGCCCCUUAUAAAUUAAACUCUUAUUAUGACUUCAAAAUCUGUUUUGGAAUGCCUGUUAGCUAACUAAUUCUCUGAUUCCAAUAGGUUUUGAUCAUACAGAUAAGAACUUGCUGCAUUUUUUUCUUUUUUUUAAUUUGGUCCAACUUGUGUGCCUCUCAUUUUUCAAUGGUUGUGAAUUGCUUUGGAAACUUGCCUGAGAUUAACUUGACCACGUGGUCAGCCACAUCUUGCUAAUCAGCCUUUUAUCGCAAGAAGGAAUAGCCUAGUCAAAAAUCAUGUUAUUGGAGACUUUGUGCAUCUAUUUGAUGUUAAUAAAAUUAGACCCAGUGUUGACUUUGGCAUCAUAGUUAAAAUAAUCUAAUGGGGCCAUUCAUUUCUCUGGGCAAAUGGUGACCAAACUCUUGGAUUUUUAGCCUCGAAUCACAACAUUGUCAGUCAGAAGAUUAACUUUCCAUCAGCCUGCAGAGCUCCAGGGCUGCAGGGGAGUUUGGCAGUGACCCAGGGAAACAGCCAGGUGGUAGGGAAAGGGGAAGAAGACAAGAAAAAAAUAAAAAUUAAAGCUAGGCUUGUACACUGAAAAAUCAGUCUAAUCCUUUUGAUUUCUGGCCCGUGGGCUGCUGCUGAUUUGCUAAAGAGGUCUGCAAAUAAGUGUGUGCACCAAGCAUUGUGGACACAUGAGUAAACGAUGUGUCCUGCACACAUAGGUGGUUUUCACAAGUAUAUAGAUACCAUGAUGAUUCAUUUUUAAACAUUUAUUUCAAAGUAAAAUCAUAACAAUUUUUUGUGUGUGUUGGUGCAUUUUCUCAAAGAGGAGAUGCUAAACCUACAAAUACAUCAUUCGAGUAUUUGUAUGAAAGUGUCCUCAUUUUGAAAACAAAUGACAAAUAGUAGUAGUCUAUCUGUCGCACCCCCACCUGCAACCUCCUCUCCCCGCCCACACCACACAGCUCCCAGGCUUCCAGACUGACACCAGACUUGUCUUUACCCUAUUUCUGGAUUUUUCCUCCUUCUCUCCGAACCCCAUGGCAAGCUGGGAUUGUCCCUUCUUCCUUAGGAAGUGGUCCUCACACUGCAAGUUUCUCCCCAGUUAGCUUUAAGGGUAUUAAAGCUGACCUUCCCUGGGUUAUACCCCAGGUUAUAGAGUGAUGGAAUGUUCUAAAUUAAAGUUAAAGAUGAUCUGUGCAACCCCCUUAUUUUCUAGGAGCACUGAAGCUUAAAGAGGUACACAAGGCUACCCGCUGGCAAGCAGGGAAUCCUGAUGAGACACGGGCUUUCUUACUCCCAGUCCUAUCUAGGCUCUUUACAUUAAAGUGUCCCUUUUAACUUUAGAAAAAUCAAUGAUAUGGAAUAAAAGGAAAGUUUAACAACAAUAACAACAAAAAAAAAAAAAAGGGAAAGGAAGGAAGGAAGGGAGAAACAGAAAGUUUAAUAAGACUGGGCAUUUUUCCACUAUUUCUCUUAGCUAUUUUGUUCUCUGCAGUAUAAGUAACAUAGGGCCCAUAACUGCUUUUCUCCCUACAGGUCUCUGUUUCCAUGUGCCAUUUUUAGUGUGGUCAUCUCACUGUAUUUAGUGUGAUUCAAAAUUAGUUGUCUCAAAAUUCAUAUAUUUUCUCUCUUUUUUUCAGAAUUUAUUUAUCUAUUUAGACCAAGAGAUAGGGAGACUGGGGCGAGGAACAGAGGGAGAAGUUUUAGAAGUGAGUCAUGCAAAACAGACAAACAAACAAACAAACAACAACAACAGGGAAUUUGGACAAGAGCAUGGGACAGCCUUUUCCUUUUAGCAUCCAGAAGGGUCACACAGCAAGUCAACUGGAUUUUAUUUAUUUAUUUGACAACCCGAGACCACAAGUAGGAAGUGGGGGAGGGGGGGAGCAGGCUCCCUGCUAAGCAGAGAGCCAGAUGCUGGGCUCCCUCCCAGGACUUGAGAUCAUGACCUGAGCCAAAGGCAGAGGCUUUAACCUACUGAGCCACCCAGGCACCACAUCACAGUGACUACUUUUUAAUAUUGAUGACAUAUUCUAUGCCAUUAAUGUUUUCAAAAAUUGUGACUAUUGAAUAUUUUCAAUGUUUUACUCAAAAAUUAUGGUUGUUUUUCUUAAUUAACAUAGUGCUUCAAUGUAUUAUAAUAAUAAAAUAUGCAACAUUGAUUCUUUUUACAUUCCUGAAAUAAGACCUACCUGAUGAAUUUUUUAUGCAACAUCAAAUUCUAGAUUUUAUUUGUGAUUUUUAAAAGUCAUAUUUAUUUGGACAUAUGUUGAUAUCAUUGCCAGAAUAUGGUAUUUUGUUUAUUUCUAAAAUACUGUUAUAUUGUGUUUAUUACAUAAUUUUAUUUAAUAUUUGCUAAUUAUGUUAUUAGACAUUUGCUGUUAUUCUAUUUUUCCAAUAUUUUUCUUUUUAAUUAAUUUUAUUAUCUAGUUUUUUCCUUUUUAAAAUUGAUCUUAUUUUCUUUUUCUAAAAUUUAGUUUAUUUGCA